This 1475-nucleotide ribosomal RNA is filed under the name uncultured bacterium. RNAcentral describes it as "16S ribosomal RNA". It matches the Rfam family "Bacterial small subunit ribosomal RNA". The record is from RNAcentral.
UGGCUCAGAUUGAACGCUGGCGGCAGGCCUAACACAUGCAAGUCGAACGGUAACAGGAAACAGCUUGCUGUUUCGCUGACGAGUGGCGGACGGGUGAGUAAUGUCUGGGAAACUGCCUGAUGGAGGGGGAUAACUACUGGAAACGGUAGCUAAUACCGCAUAACGUCGCAAGACCAAAGAGGGGGACCUUCGGGCCUCUUGCCAUCGGAUGUGCCCAGAUGGGAUUAGCUAGUAGGUGGGGUAACGGCUCACCUAGGCGACGAUCCCUAGCUGGUCUGAGAGGAUGACCAGCCACACUGGAACUGAGACACGGUCCAGACUCCUAUGGGAGGCAGCAGUGGGGAAUAUUGCACAAUGGGCGCAAGCCUGAUGCAGCCAUGCCGCGUGUAUGAAGAAGGCCUUCGGGUUGUAAAGUACUUUCAGCGGGGAGGAAGGGAGUAAAGUUAAUACCUUUGCUCAUUGACGUUACCCGCAGAAGAAGCACCGGCUAACUCCGUGCCAGCAGCCGCGGUAAUAUGGAGGGUGCAAGCGUUAAUCGGAAUUACUGGGCGUAAAGCGCACGCAGGCGGUUUGUUAAGUCAGAUGUGAAAUCCCCGGGCUCAACCUGGGAACUGCAUCUGAUACUGGCAAGCUUGAGUCUCGUAGAGGGGGGUAGAAUUCCAGGUGUAGCGGUGAAAUGCGUAGAGAUCUGGAGGAAUACCGGUGGCGAAGGCGGCCCCCUGGACGAAGACUGACGCUCAGGUGCGAAAGCGUGGGGAGCAAACAGGAUUAGAUACCCUGGUAGUCCACGCCGUAAACGAUGUCGACUUGGAGGUUGUGCCCUUGAGGCGUGGCUUCCGGAGCUAACGCGUUAAGUCGACCGCCUGGGGAGUACGGCCGCAAGGUUAAAACUCAAAUGAAUUGACGGGGGCCCGCACAAGCGGUGGAGCAUGUGGUUUAAUUCGAUGCAACGCGAAGAACCUUACCUGGUCUUGACAUCCACAGAACUUUCCAGAGAUGGAUUGGUGCCUUCGGGAACUGUGAGACAGGUGCUGCAUGGCUGUCGUCAGCUCGUGUUGUGAAAUGUUGGGUUAAGUUCCGCAACGAGCGCAACCCUUAUCCUUUGUUGCCAGCGGUCCGGCCGGGAACUCAAAGGAGACUGCCAGUGAUAAACUGGAGGAAGGUGGGGAUGACGUCAAGUCAUCAUGGCCCUUACGACCAGGGCUACACACGUGCUACAAUGGCGCAUACAAAGAGAAGCGACCUCGCGAGAGCAAGCGGACCUCAUAAAGUGCGUCGUAGUCCGGAUUGGAGUCUGCAACUCGACUCCAUGAAGUCGGAAUCGCUAGUAAUCGUGGAUCAGAAUGCCACGGUGAAUACGUUCCCGGGCCUUGUACACACCGCCCGUCACACCAUGGGAGUGGGUUGCAAAAGAAGUAGGUAGCUUAACCUUCGGGAGGGCGCUUACCACUUUGUGAUUCAUGACUGAAGUGAAG